RNAcentral lists this ribosomal RNA (253 nucleotides) under uncultured bacterium. RNAcentral's name for it is "partial 16S ribosomal RNA". It matches the Rfam family "Bacterial small subunit ribosomal RNA", at positions 524 to 776 of the family's 1533-position model. The record is from RNAcentral.
UACGGAGGGGGCUAGCGUUGUUCGGAAUUACUGGGCGUAAAGCGCGCGUAGGCGGCCCUGUAAGUCCGUUGUGAAAGUCAAAGGCUCAACCUUUGAAAGCCGAUGGAUACUGCAGGGCUAGAGUCCGGAAGAGGCGAGUGGAAUUCCUGGUGUAGCGGUGGAAUGCGCAGAUAUCAGGAGGAACACCAAUAGCGAAGGCAGCUCGCUGGGACGGUACUGACGCUAAGGCGCGAAAGCGUGGGGAGCGAACAGG